UCUUUGGUUGUGUUUAUUGCUCCUGAGCUCCAGAGCCCCUGUGUUCCCUUAUUCCUACAUCUCUGUGUCUUGACUCCAGUGUUCUUGUACUUGCUUCUCUUCUGGCCUUGCCCGUUGCUCUUGUCUCCUGCAUCUUGGUGCCUUGUUGUGGCUCUGUUCUCCCAACCCUGUGCUUAGUCAUGAUCACCUGCACAGAGUCAGACACCAGAGACUCUAGCCACAUGCUUGGAUAAGGCUGGUCACUGCCCCAGGCCUGGAGAAGCAAAUGACAGGCAUGCCAUGGGACAGGUAGAGCUACCCUGGACCUGCUGUUGCUACAGGAGGAGGUGCCAAUGAGGUGCGUAAUAGCUGUGUUCAUAAUCUGGACCUCAGAAAGGUGGGCACCUCAAGAAAAAAAAACUGUAUGACUUUUUAAAAAAAUCUUUAAGAGAGUGGAGGAAGCAAAUGGGGUUGAGUGACUGGGAUGUUUCUCUUCUAAUCUUAGGUUACUUUUUAUCAGGGGUGCUCACAUCCCUGUGGGUUGGGGGCAAUGACUCAAAAAACAAGCUGGAGAUGGGUUCAUUUGGGGGGGGGGUUCAUGAUAGUUCGUGUUCCUUGCUCCGUGAGUAGCCACAAGCCAUGAAUCAUCACAAACUUUGGGUUUAUGCCCAUCUCUAGAGAGCGCUCGUGUAUGUUAAGAAUGUUUGUGGUGUUCUUAACUUGCUUGCACCUUGUAUCUUCUGUAGCUCA
Molecule: non-coding RNA, 729 nt
Organism: Pogona vitticeps (central bearded dragon)
Lineage: Eukaryota; Metazoa; Chordata; Lepidosauria; Squamata; Agamidae
Source: RefSeq, a predicted model, not a curated record